GGAGAGAUGCAAAUCAAAACAACUCUGAGGUAUCACCUCACACCUAGAAGAUUGGCUAACAUGACAGUAAAGGAAAGUAAUGAAUCUUGGAGGAGAUGUGACAAAAUUGGGACAUUAAUGCAUUGCUGGUGGAGUUGUGAAUUGAUCCAGCCAUAGCACUGCUGGGUUUGUACCCCAAAGAGAUAAUAAGGAGUUAUAAACCCUAAAUGAUCACCCUAGUCAAAUAUCAAUAAUAUGGAAAUAGUUCUUGAACCAGUGGAAUUGUGUGUCAGCUAUGGGAGGGAUUUUGGAGGAGGGGAGGAAAAUAACAUGAUUUUUGUAAUCCUGGAAAAAUACUCUAAAUUAAUCAAUUAAAUAAAAUUUAAUAAAAAAUUUUAAAAAAAAAUAAAAGAUCAGACUGGAAUAUUAGUAGAGUAUACUCAGGGUUCUUCUGUUGCCUAUUGUAGAUAUGAAGCAUGAAAGGCAGCUACUCUAUUGUGAAUGGGAAAAAGAAGAUUUCGAGACAUCACUUUUACAUAGUGCAUUUACAUUUACAUUUACAACCAGUCUUUACAACAACCUGGAUGAUAUUUAUCUAUUGCACAAUGCAUCUCACAACUGCAGAAUAGAAUCAGAGAAUUGCAAGAGCUAGGAAUACUUGUUCAGGCUGGACCUAUAGAUUCUACAUUAUCCAGGUGACACCAUUUACAUAAAAAAUUUUACUAGGACUAAUGCCACAGAACCAGUGUGACUAGGAGCUUUCGAUAUUCUGCUCAUGACACCUAAGGCUGUAAAGGUUGCUGGUAAAGAUUUGUGGCUGCAUUGCUCACACGUGAAGAGGAUGUCAUAGGAAGAAGAGAUUACAUCAGUUGAAGAAGCAGGUGAAGUUGGUAAGAAGAGGAAAAAAACAAUAACACAACAUGACAAAAGAUGAACAACACAAUAGAGACAACUGCGACAACAGACAAUGGACAAGGGACUUACUAUGGACAAGAUUUCUUAAGGACAAGGGAUUGUUUGAAAAAACAUAUAACAACAUUGUUACAAUCACAAACACACUUGGGAGGAUAAAAGUGACAGCAUUAUAAGAGCAACAAUCAACAAAAGACACUGGCAGCAUAAAAUUUCCUGUCAGGUUGCCUCCAGUAUAAAGUGGACCAACUGCGACCGACAUUCCGAGGAUAGAACUCUGUUUUUCACUUGGUUUCCCUCAGCACAGGUUUGUAUUUUAGGAUAAUUAUGGUAACAGGUGAGUAUGCACACUUCAGAUAGGCAUAGUUUAUCAGUAUCACACACACACGAUAGCACAUAGCAAUAUUAAGGAUUCUAGAUAGAUACAUAUUAUAUAGACAUAUACUAGUAACAAUAGAUAGCUUACUUAACUUAUGAGGAUUUUAUAUCCACUCUAUAGAUCCAUUUUACUCAGAACAGGGGAUAAUUUUAAAUUCUUCAAAUAGUGUGACUUCUCUUCUGUACAUAUAUAUAUUUGUAUUUACAUGUGUUAAUAUGUAUUUAUGUUUAAAUAUGUAUAUAUGGACUUUUGUAUAAUUUUUCAAUAGAAGUUAU
This 1545-nucleotide long non-coding RNA is filed under the name Monodelphis domestica (gray short-tailed opossum). RNAcentral's name for it is "lncRNA (ENSMODG00000035852.2)". The record is from RNAcentral. Lineage: Eukaryota; Metazoa; Chordata; Mammalia; Didelphimorphia; Didelphidae.